AGUGAACGCUGGCGGUAGGCCUAACACAUGCAAGUCGAACGGCAGCACAGUAAGAGCUUGCUCUUACGGGUAGCGAGUGGCGGACGGGUGAGGAAUACAUCGGAAUCUACUUUUUCGUGGGGGAUAACGUAGGGAAACUUACGCUAAUACCGCAUACGACCUACGGGUGAAAGCAGGGGAUCUUCGGACCUUGCGCGAUUGAAUGAGCCGAUGUCGGAUUAGCUAGUUGGCGGGGUAAAGGCCCACCAAGGCGACGAUCCGUAGCUGGUCUGAGAGGAUGAUCAGCCACACUGGAACUGAGACACGGUCCAGACUCCUACGGGAGGCAGCAGUGGGGAAUAUUGGACAAUGGGCGCAAGCCUGAUCCAGCCAUACCGCGUGAGUGAAGAAGGCCUUCGGGUUGUAAAGCCCUUUUGUUGGGAAAGAAAAGCAGCAGGUUAAUACCCCGCUGUUCUGACGGUACCCAAAGAAUAAGCACCGGCUAACUUCGUG
This 492-nucleotide ribosomal RNA is filed under the name uncultured bacterium. RNAcentral describes it as "partial 16S ribosomal RNA". It matches the Rfam family "Bacterial small subunit ribosomal RNA", at positions 29 to 507 of the family's 1533-position model. The record is from RNAcentral.